Herpailurus yagouaroundi (jaguarundi) is the source of this 2507-nucleotide long non-coding RNA. RefSeq lists it as uncharacterized. The record is from RefSeq and is a predicted model, not a curated record. Lineage: Eukaryota; Metazoa; Chordata; Mammalia; Carnivora; Felidae. The transcript is spliced from 2 exons.
GAGCCCGACGCGGGGCUCGAACCCACGAGCUGUGAGAUCAUGACCCGAGCCGAAGUCGGACGCUCAACCGACUGAGCCCCCCCAGGCGCCCCGACGUUUACUUUAAAUUGUUAAUCUUCGCGUGGAGAUCAUGGCAAUUUGACGUUUGGGAAGACGCACAUUGUGACAUUUCCUCUCAACCAGAAACAGAGCCGUGUCUCGUUCAUUCGUGUCCUCUCAUGUGUCCCGCGGGAGAGCUGUCGCCAGUGUUUCCGCGUGUGUGGGGGGGACCUGACGCCGGUGCGCAGGUCGUCCCUGAGCCUUCCCCCAUGCCGCCGUGUCCGGGGUCAGGAGCAGCAGCCACAGCAUCUUGUCUCCUUCCUGAGCCGUCUCAGGCCGAGAGUCUGGGACAGAUUUUCACAGCUUCACCAAACUGGAAGAAACUCCCUUCUUUUCCCAGUUUCCCAGUGUUCAGGGAGUGGGGCUUACACAGCCUCAGAGGAUUCCGUGGCACUCGUUAAGGGCCCCUCCCUCUGCCUCAGAGGCGGACGCAUGGCAGACCAGCUCCCCCAGCCUCUCCUGGCCUCCCUGUUGCCGCACGAGGGAUGUGGCGCCGGGCACGCGCUCUGCACGAAGGGGUCCUUGCCGCCAUCGAGGGCUUCCUUUGAGCCCCCGGACGUGGUGGGGCCGGAGUCCGACCUCACCUGACAGGGGCCGCCUGCCCCGUACACGACUUUACACUCCAGCUUUCAGAAUCUUUCUUUCUACGGACAGCAGAGAAGCAGGCUUUGCUUUACGGACCACUCGGGGAAUCUUUAAACAGGCGAGUCAAUUCAAUUCCCUGUUUACAGACAGGACGAUACGCUGUGCACAAGUCUAACCUACCAGCCCGUUCUGUUUGCAUGCAGGCCUCUUAAGCCUUUCACCGCGAAGUAACGCGGAUUUCGUUACAAUUUUCCCGUCCUGUUGGCAAUUUGGAGUUUUGUCCUCCCGACCACCCUUUAUAAGCAGCCCAGCAUCUCCAGCCGUGUGUGGCACCCACGGGUCUGCCACCAUGGCCUCAGUGACCCCACCUCGCCAGCACCGCUCGGCCACCUUCGGUCUCCCUCCGGGAGUUACCGGCUCCGAUCCCCGGCUCCCACCAGAGGUGACCUGGGCUGCCCUUCCCUGUGUUGGGCACGAUACCCCAAGCACGCUGUGCUCCCGGACAGCCUCCUGGCUCCGCGCCUCACACUCGAGCCUCUUACCCUGUAGCCGCUGCCCCUGAUGAACUGCUCAGCUGGCCGCAGGGUCUCUGGUCUCUGGCCCUCUCUUCUCCUGAACACCGUGUGGGAGCCGACCCUCUGUGCUCAGGCGCGGAGCUCUGUGUCCACAGCUGGCAAGCCGGCCUCGUUCUCUUCCCUGGUACGCAAUUCAGUGUCUUCGUCUGGCUACCAGAAGGUUUUGUCACACCCAUAAUUUUGAUACAGUAUUUCCUACGCUGGCCAUUCUGGAUGGAUUUCCCGGAAACACAGCACCGUCUUCACCUCCUUCCGGUGUCUGGAGCGCCCGCGGUCACGCAGAGACUGUCCUCGGCCCGUGCCCUGUGUUGUGCUGGUCUCGUCCUUCCCCGCUCUCUCCCCACCGCGUCCUGCUCAGUCCCCGCGUCUGUCCCACGUCUGCCCCGCGCUUCCACGCGCUCCGGGCAGCUGAAGCUUCUGAUGGGAGAUGCCGGUCUCCUCCUGUUCCACCCCACGCCCCCCGCGUUCCCGACUCAGCUCUGCCUGCCGUCUGGCCGCCUCUGACUCCUCACUCUCUCAAGUCCAGUGCUUUGUGACGGCAGCCGUCCCAGUGGCUUCUCUCCACCACAGGCGGCUUCUGUGGUCCCUUUGCCACCCCGCUCGGAGGGCGCCGGGGCCCCGCAGCAGCUGGACUCAGGGAGUGUGCGCCACGUGCUCUGUCUCGGGCACCUUCUCUGUCUCUCUCGGAAGACGGCCCUUCCCGAGCCCGUCACUCCUGCCUCCCAGGAGCCCCCAUGCCGCCCGUCUCCGCUGCCCCCUUCCAAGACUCAGUGCUGCUGCCCAGCAGGUGCCACCUGCAGACGGCUCUUCGUCUCUUCUGACAAAGGCACUUCCAGGCUGAUGGCCUGUCUGUCCCCAGCCCCACCGAAGACGUACUCCGUAUACGUUUUGUUGCCGUUGCUCUGGGAGCGAGCAGCCACCCUCUCCUACCACAGUCCUACGUGCAUUUUAAUGUUCACAGGUUCCUGUUGCUGCACCGCGGGUCCACUCCUGUCUCCCACUUUCUUCAUUGACCUUCUUUUAAGAUCUCUCCAAGCUGUUAGAUACGCAUCGAGUUCCUGGGUCUCCUCCACCCCCACAACUGCACCCAGUAAGCAGGGGAGUGAGGACCCUACUAAGGCCUCCUCCUUGGCUGCUGUGGCUGUUCAAAGUCUACUUUAUCUGAUGCUAAUGUACUACGAACAGCCUUCUCUGCACUAGCCUUUGCUAAGUUUUUAAUUUUCUAGUACACUUACAAGCUUUCUGCUU